This 373-nucleotide ribosomal RNA is filed under the name uncultured bacterium. Its description in RNAcentral is "bacterial SSU rRNA". It matches the Rfam family "Bacterial small subunit ribosomal RNA", at positions 527 to 898 of the family's 1533-position model. The record is from RNAcentral.
GUAGGGGGCUAGCGUUGUCCGGAUUUAUUGGGCGUAAAGAGCGCGUAGGCGGCCGGGUAAGUCCGACGUGAAAUCUGGAGGCUCAACCUCCAGCGGUCGUUGGAAACUACUCGGCUAGAGUCCGGAAGAGGAGAGUGGAAUUCCUGGUGUAGCGGUGAAAUGCGCAGAUAUCAGGAAGAACACCGAUGGCGAAAGCAGCUCUCUGGGACGGUACUGACGCUGAGGCGCGAAAGCGUGGGGAGCGAACAGGAUUAGAUACCCUGGUAGUCCACGCCGUAAACGAUGGGUGCUAGGUGUGGGCGGUGUCGACUCCGCCCGUGCCGAAGCUAACGCAUUAAGCACCCCGCCUGGGGAGUACGGCCGCAAGGCUAAA